UACGUAGGGGGCGAGCGUUGUCCGGAUUUAUUGGGCGUAAAGAGCGUGUAGGCGGCCAGGUAGGUCCGUUGUGAAAACUCGAGGCUCAACCUCGAGACGUCGAUGGAAACCAUCUGGCUAGAGUCCGGAAGAGGUUAGUGGAAUUCCCAGUGUAGAGGUGAAAUUCGUAGAUAUUGGGAAGAACACCAGUGGCGAAGGCGGCUAACUGGUCCAGAUCUGACGCUGAGGUGCGAAAGCGUGGGGAGCGAACAGG
RNAcentral lists this ribosomal RNA (253 nucleotides) under uncultured bacterium. RNAcentral describes it as "partial 16S ribosomal RNA". It matches the Rfam family "Bacterial small subunit ribosomal RNA", at positions 524 to 776 of the family's 1533-position model. The record is from RNAcentral.